RNAcentral lists this ribosomal RNA (520 nucleotides) under Conus mappa granarius. Its description in RNAcentral is "partial 12S ribosomal RNA". Lineage: Eukaryota; Metazoa; Mollusca; Gastropoda; Neogastropoda; Conidae. The record is from RNAcentral.
AUGGUAAAGACAGUUAAGCAAAGAUAAAGAUUAUAAGAUCUCUAGUAGAGGAGUAAAAUCUAAAUACUAAGAGUUACACCAGAUAUAAUUUAUUUUAGGUGCUGAAUCUGUGACAACUUUAAGGGAAACUGGGAUUGGAUACCCCAUUAUUUUUAGUCGUAAAUUUAGUUUAAACUUACCAGAGUACUACGAAUAAAAAGUUUAAAACUCAAAGAGCUUGGCGGUGUUUUAGACCUCUCAGGGGAACCUGUCUCAUAAUCGACAAUCCACGUUAAACCUGACCCUUUAUAGCAAUACAGUUUGUAUACCGUCGUCGCCAGGUAACUUCUAAAAAUGCAGUAGUUAGCUUGAUAAUUAUAUUAAUUAAAACGUCAGAUCAAGGUGCAGCUAAUAAAAGGGGGGGGAUGGGUUACAAUUAUAUAUUUAUAAUUACGAAGAAAACUUGAAAUAAAGUGGCUAGAAGGAGGACUUGAAAGUAAUUUUGGUUAUAUAAACAAAAUGAAUAAGGCUCUGAAACGUG